RNAcentral lists this long non-coding RNA (800 nucleotides) under Nicotiana benthamiana. Its description in RNAcentral is "long non-coding RNA (NBEN_LNC019397)". The record is from RNAcentral. Lineage: Eukaryota; Viridiplantae; Streptophyta; Magnoliopsida; Solanales; Solanaceae.
GGAGUUCUCUUUUGUGAAUGAUUUUCUUUGAUUAAAAUGGAAAUGACGUGAUAGCUCCUUUCCAAUAUCACUCGUCUCUUUUGAUACAAUGUCUCACCAGUAUUGUUCUCUCUUUCUUUGCUAACUUGUUACACAGUAGGUGUUAGAGAGCUACAAUAUUUGUUUAUAGUAUAACAAAGAGCAGGUGUUUGGUUCGAUCAAAGUAUUUCUAGCUAAGGUGUGAUUACAGGUUUAAAUACUUUGAGAGAGAGGCUUGAAUUCUAGAAAGAUUUGCCAACCCAAGAUAUUUGAUCUUCGAAAGAGAUUAACUCUUUCCAAGAAUAAAGCUGUUCUACAAUGGCUCUGUUGAACAUGAAAUCUUGAUUUUUUAUAUUAGACACUUGAUUGAAUAUUCAGUGAGAUCUUGAUUUAUUUGAUUCCUUGAGUUUAGCUAUAAUUGAUCCCAUUUGUAUCUUCUGUGAUUUCGUCUUCCUUUAAUCGUGUCCCUUGAUUGCAUCGGUAUCUUCAUGAUUGAUUUCCUCUUCCUUUAACUGCGCCUAUAUUCUGUCAAUCUUGUAACUCAAUCCAUAUAUUUCCAUACGUUCCUUUAUCAUUGAUUUCGCCAAUCCAAGAGUUCCUACUCAAGAAACAAAUAUAUUAUUUUCAUCACUAAAAUUAGAUUUAACAAUCUUCCCCUUUUUGAUGAUGACAAAAUAAUAUAUGUAUAAACACUAGUUGACUACCCUGUAGUUUUCUCCACCUCAAUAGGUGUAGUAAGUAAUUUGAGGUGCAUGUAGUCGACUGCAUCAAUUAGCUUCUCU